CCUACGGGUGGCUGCAGUAGGGAAUCUUUCACAAUGGGGGAAACCCUGAUGCAGCAACGCCGCGUGCAGGAUGAAGGCCUUCGGGUUGUAAACUUCUUUUAUCAGCGAAGAAUAUGACGGUAACUUAUGAAUAAGCAUCGGCUAACUCCGUGCCAGCAGCCGCGGUCAUACGUAGGAUCCGAGCAUUAUCCGGAGUGACUGGGUGUAAAGAGUUGGGUGGGUGGGAGAAAAAGUAGCUGUGGAAAUCUGGUGGGUUAACCAUCAGGACUAUUAGGUAAACUGUUAAGCUGGAGAGCGGGAGGGGUAAGUGGAAUUGCUAGUGUAGGAGUGAAAUCCGUAGAUAUUAGGAGGAACACCAAUAGCGAAGGCAGGUUGCUGGGACGGGACUGACGCUGAGGCACGAAAGCGUAGGGAGCAAACGGGAUUAGAUACCCUAGUAGUC
This 442-nucleotide ribosomal RNA is filed under the name uncultured bacterium. Its description in RNAcentral is "partial 16S ribosomal RNA". It matches the Rfam family "Bacterial small subunit ribosomal RNA", at positions 338 to 795 of the family's 1533-position model. The record is from RNAcentral.